AGGAGGCAAUGCAUGGUUAGGACA
Molecule: non-coding RNA, 24 nt
Filed under: Arabidopsis thaliana (thale cress)
Lineage: Eukaryota; Viridiplantae; Streptophyta; Magnoliopsida; Brassicales; Brassicaceae
Source: RNAcentral